Amphiprion ocellaris (clown anemonefish) is the source of this 548-nucleotide long non-coding RNA. NCBI's taxonomy places the organism in Eukaryota, Metazoa, Chordata, Actinopteri, Pomacentridae. The record is from Ensembl.
GCCAGAGAGCAGUGAUUGGUCAGAUCAUAGAUACUAUAGAAGACAGCGCGCUAGCGUAUCUAGUCUGCUAUAUAUAUUUAUGGUUAGCAUGUCUGGUAACGUCUCUGGCUGCUGUUGACCUUGUUUUUGGAGUAAAACAAGGUGGAAGCUGAAUUAGUGAGGAUGACUCCUGCUCCUGUCAUCUCUAAGCUCCUCACACAUCUUUACCUGCACAUGAGGAAAAUCACUCCUGUAGAAUGCAGAUGUUCAGAGGGAGAUGAUGCCACAUCUGGUCCAGCCGAUGGAUGGUCUUGAAGUUCUCUGACUGGCCUCGACUGAAGAUGGUCGUCUCACUGGAUUUAAGAUGCACAAUGAGGGACGUCUGCAGUGACUGAGAAAGAGUCUCACCACAUCCUGACAUGAGGAAAAAGACUUUAUUGAAGACUACAAUGAGAAAAACUAUCAGACAGCAGACGGCUGCAUUCAAGGCUACAGGAGGAGCCCUAUGAGGACGAGCCAGUCCACCUGAUGGAGGCCAGUCGCUGCGGUUCAAAGCCAACACAGACUAC